RNAcentral lists this ribosomal RNA (497 nucleotides) under uncultured bacterium. RNAcentral describes it as "partial 16S ribosomal RNA". It matches the Rfam family "Bacterial small subunit ribosomal RNA", at positions 28 to 507 of the family's 1533-position model. The record is from RNAcentral.
GAUGAACGCUGGCGGCGUGCCUAAUACAUGCAAGUCGAGCGAACGGACGAGAAGCUUGCUUCUCUGAUGUUAGCGGCGGACGGGUGAGUAACACGUGGAUAACCUACCUAUAAGACCGGGAUAACUUCGGGAAACCGGAGCUAAUACCGGAUAAUAUUUUGAACCGCAUGGUUCAAAAGUGAAAGACGGUCUUGCUGUCACUUAUAGAUGGAUCCGCGCUGCAUUAGCUAGUUGGUAAGGUAACGGCUUACCAAGGCAACGAUGCAUAGCCGACCUGAGAGGGUGAUAGGCCACACGGGAAGUGAGACACGGUCCAGACUCCUACGGGAGGCAGCAGUAGGGACUCUUCCGCAAUGGGCGAAAGCCUGACGGAGCAACGCCGAGUGAGUGAUGAAGGUCUUCGGAUCGUAAAACUCUGUUAUUAGGGAAGAACAUAUGUGUAAGUAACUGUGCACAUCUUGACGGUACCUAAUCAGAAAGCCACGGCUAACUACGUG